AGUCAAUAGAUACCCAGGUAGUCCACGCCGUAAACGAUGAAUACUAGGUGUAGGGGUUGUCAUGACCUCUGUGCCGCCGCAAACGCAUUAAGUAUUCCGCCUGGGGAGUACGGUCGCAAGAUUAAAACUCAAAGGAAUUGACGGGGGCCCGCACAAGCAGCGGAGCAUGUGGUUUAAUUCGAAGCAACGCGAAGAACCUUACCUAGACUUGACAUCUCCUGAAUUACUCUGUAAUGGAGGAAGCCCUUCGGGGCAGGAAGACAGGUGGUGCAUGGUUGUCGUCAGCUCGUGUCGUGAGAUGUUGGGUUAAGUCCCGCAACGAGCGCAACCCUUAUUGUUAGUUGCUACCAUUAAGUUGAGCACUCUAGCGAGACUGCCCGGGUUAACCGGGAGGAAGGUGGGGAUGACGUCAAAUCAUCAUGCCCCUUAUGUCUAGGGCUACACACGUGCUACAAUGGCUGGUACAGAGAGAUGCUAAACCGUGAGGUGGAGCCAAACUUUAAAACCAGUCUCAGUUCGGAUUGUAGGCUGAAACUCGCC
RNAcentral lists this ribosomal RNA (540 nucleotides) under uncultured bacterium. RNAcentral's name for it is "bacterial SSU rRNA". It matches the Rfam family "Bacterial small subunit ribosomal RNA", at positions 775 to 1316 of the family's 1533-position model. The record is from RNAcentral.